GUGGGGUUGUGGCUCAGUGUUAGAGCGCUUGCCUAACACACAUGAGGCCCUGGGUUUGAUCCCCAGCACCACA
This 73-nucleotide transfer RNA is filed under the name Marmota monax (woodchuck). RNAcentral describes it as "tRNA.Val". It matches the Rfam family "tRNA". From Rfam's summary of the family: Transfer RNA (tRNA) molecules are approximately 80 nucleotides in length. Their secondary structure includes four short double-helical elements and three loops (D, anti-codon, and T loops). Further hydrogen bonds mediate the characteristic L-shaped molecular structure. tRNAs have two regions of fundamental functional importance: the anti-codon, which is responsible for specific mRNA codon recognition, and the 3' end, to which the tRNAs corresponding amino acid is attached (by aminoacyl-tRNA synthetases). tRNAs cope with the degeneracy of the genetic code in two manners: having more than one tRNA (with a specific anti-codon) for a particular amino acid; and 'wobble' base-pairing, i.e. permitting non-standard base-pairing at the 3rd anti-codon position. The record is from RNAcentral. Lineage: Eukaryota; Metazoa; Chordata; Mammalia; Rodentia; Sciuridae.